This 433-nucleotide ribosomal RNA is filed under the name uncultured bacterium. Its description in RNAcentral is "partial 16S ribosomal RNA". It matches the Rfam family "Bacterial small subunit ribosomal RNA", at positions 29 to 507 of the family's 1533-position model. The record is from RNAcentral.
AGCGAACGCUGGCGGCAGGCCUAACACAUGCAAGUCGAACGAACUCUUCGGAGUUAGUGGCGGACGGGUGAGUAACACGUGGGAACGUGCCUUUUGGUUCGGAAUAACUCAGGGAAACUUGUGCUAAUACCGAAUGCGCCCUUCGGGGGAAAGAUUUAUCGCCAUUAGAGCGGCCCGCGUCUGAUUAGCUAGUUGGUGAGGUAACGGCUCACCAAGGCGACGAUCAGUAGCUGGUCUGAGAGGAUGACCAGCCACACUGGGACUGAGACACGGCCCAGACUCCUACGGGAGGCAGCAGUGGGGAAUCUUGCGCAAUGGGCGAAAGCCUGACGCAGCCAUGACGCGUGAAUGAUGAAGGUCUUAGGAUUGUAAAAUUCUUUCACCGGGGACGAUAAUGACGGUACCCGGAGAAGAAGCCCCGGCUAACUUCGUG